CGCAUCUGUGCAUGCAGCAUAUCAAUAAGCGGAGGAAAAGAAACUAACAAGGAUUCCCCUAGUAACGGCGAGUGAAGCGGGAAGAGCUCAAAUUUGAAAUCUUAAAGGGUUUCCCUUUACGAAUUGUAGUUUAAAGAAGUGUUUUCUGUUGAGGUUUUGGUAAAAGUUCUUUGGAAUAGGACAUCAUAGAGGGUGAGAAUCCCGUAUUUGACCUUUACUUUCAACUUUGUGAUACACUUUCAAAGAGUCGGAUUGUUUGGGAAUGCAGUCCAAAAUGGGUGGUAAAUUUCAUCUAAAGCUAAAUAUUGGCGAGAGACCGAUAGCGAACAAGUACCGUGAGGGAAAGAUGAAAAGAACUUUGAAAAGAGAGUUAAACAGUACGUGAAAUUGUCAAAAGGGAAGCGUUUGACAUCAGUGUUGUUUUUCUGAAAAUCAAUUAAAGAACUGUUUAUGCUAAGUUGUUUAGACUUUAUCAGCUAUCUGUUUAGUUUUAGGCUUUUCUUUAAUGCACUUUUCAGUUAACAAGUCAACAUCAAUUUCUUUUGCUGUAAAAAAGCUUGAGGAAGGUGGCUUGAGAUUCGUCUUAAGUGUUUAUAGCCUCCUGCCUAUGCAGUCGGAGAGAUUGAGGUCUGCAGCGUAGAUCCUUCGGGGCUAAAUGCAUUUGUGCUAAGUUAUAGCAUUUUAUAGACAACUUGUUGACUAUGAUUUGUCUUGUAGCUUACUCGCUUAUGUUAUUUUACCUACGCUUAGGAUGUUGAACGCGCACAGAGUCUC
This 774-nucleotide ribosomal RNA is filed under the name uncultured Neocallimastigales. RNAcentral describes it as "partial large subunit ribosomal RNA". It matches the Rfam family "Eukaryotic large subunit ribosomal RNA", at positions 26 to 633 of the family's 3401-position model. Lineage: Eukaryota; Fungi; Neocallimastigomycota; Neocallimastigomycetes; Neocallimastigales. The record is from RNAcentral.